RNAcentral lists this long non-coding RNA (141 nucleotides) under Mustela putorius furo (domestic ferret). RNAcentral's name for it is "lncRNA (ENSMPUG00000030046.1)". Lineage: Eukaryota; Metazoa; Chordata; Mammalia; Carnivora; Mustelidae. The record is from RNAcentral.
GUCCUUCAGAGAGCCUGGUCUCUUAUGACUUUCUGUCUGGACGAUCUAUCCAUUGAUUGUAUAUCCGUAGUUGCACUGCAAGUUAGUGGGAAGAAGUCUCUCCCUCAUCGUAUGACCUCAUUGGAGUCGAUGAAUCUCUGA